GGUACUUGAGGAAUAGAGACGGCUAAUUCCGUGCCAGCAGCCGCGGUAAUACGGGAGUGGCAAGCGUUAUCCGGAAUUAUUGGGCGUAAAGCGUCCGCAGGCGGCUUUGUAAGUCUGCUGUCAAAGCGUGGAGCUCAACUCCAUUUCGGCAGUGGAAACUACGAGGCUUGAGUGUGGUAGGGGCAGAGGGAAUUCCCGGUGUAGCGGUGAAAUGCGUAGAUAUCGGGAAGAACACCAGUGGCGAAGGCGCUCUGCUGGGCCAUAACUGACGCUCAUGGACGAAAGCCAGGGGAGCGAAAGGGAUUAGAUACCCCUGUAGUCCUGGCCGUAAACGAUGAACACUAGGUGUCGGGGGAAUCGACCCCCUCGGUGUCGUAGCCAACGCGUUAAGUGUUCCGCCUGGGGAGUACGCACGCAAGUGUGAAACUC
Molecule: ribosomal RNA, 429 nt
Filed under: uncultured bacterium
Lineage: Bacteria
Description: bacterial SSU rRNA
Rfam family: Bacterial small subunit ribosomal RNA
Source: RNAcentral